CUGCAAAUGAUGUAAACUUUGUUUUUGCCUGAAUGAUUCUGAUGCAUUCAAAGGAACCACUGAUGCUU
Pimephales promelas (fathead minnow) is the source of this 68-nucleotide small nucleolar RNA. RefSeq annotates it as small nucleolar RNA SNORD42. The record is from RefSeq and is a predicted model, not a curated record. NCBI's taxonomy places the organism in Eukaryota, Metazoa, Chordata, Actinopteri, Cypriniformes, Leuciscidae.